This 117-nucleotide ribosomal RNA is filed under the name Erinaceus europaeus (western European hedgehog). Lineage: Eukaryota; Metazoa; Chordata; Mammalia; Eulipotyphla; Erinaceidae. The record is from RNAcentral.
GUCUACAGCCAUACCCCCCUGAACAAGUUCGAUCUCAGAAGCUAAACAGGGUCAGGCCUGGUUAGUGCUUGGAUGGGAGAAAAAUAAUCUGAAAAGAAAUACUAGUGGUAGGGGGUC